CUACGGGGUGCAGCAGUAGGGAAUAUUGGACAAUGGGCGAAAGCCUGAUCCAGCAACACCGCGUGCACGAUGACGGCCUUCGGGUUGUAAAGUGCUUUUAGAGGAGAUGAGAAAGGACAGUAUCCUCUGAAUAAGCCUCGGCGAACUACGUGCCAGCAGCCGCGGUAAAACGUAGGAGGCAAGCGUUAUCCGGAUUUAUUGGGCGUAAAGCGCGUGCAGGCGGUCUAGCAAGUUGGAUGUGAAAGCUCCCGGCUCAACUGGGAGAGGUCGUUCAAUACUGUUAGACUAGAGAAUAGGAGAGGGAGGUGGAAUUCCGGGUGUAGUGGUGAAAUGCGUAGAUAUCCGGAGGAACACCAGUGGCGAAAGCGGCCUCCUGGACUAUUUCUGACGCUAAGACGCGAAAGCCAGGGUAGCAAACGGGAUUAGAUACCCGCGUAGUC
RNAcentral lists this ribosomal RNA (440 nucleotides) under uncultured bacterium. Its description in RNAcentral is "partial 16S ribosomal RNA". It matches the Rfam family "Bacterial small subunit ribosomal RNA", at positions 339 to 795 of the family's 1533-position model. The record is from RNAcentral.